AUACCGCGAAACUGCGAAUGGCUCAUUAAAUCAGUUAUCGUUUAUUUGAUAGUACCUUUCCUACUUGGAUAACCGUGGUAAUUCUAGGGCUAAUACAUGCUAAAAAUCCCGACUUCGGAAGGGAUGCAUUUAUCAGACUCAGAACCAAUGCCCUCCGGGGCUCCUUGGUGAAUCAUGAUAACUCCGCGGAUCGCACGGCCUUGCGCCGGCGAUGGUUCAUUCAAAUUUCUGCCCUAUCAACUUUCGACGGCUGGGUAUUGGCCAGCCGUGGUGACAACGGGUAACGGAGGGUUAGGGCUCGACCCCGGAGAAGGAGCCUGAGAGACGGCUACUACAUCCAAGGAAGGCAGCAGGCGCGCAAAUUACCCAAUCCCGACUCGGGGAGGUAGUGACAAUAAAUACUGAUCCAGGGCUCUUUUGGGUCUUGGAAUUGGAAUGAGUACAAUUUAAAUCCCUUAACGAGGAACAAUUGGAGGGCAAGUCUGGUGCCAGCAGCCGCGGUAAUUCCAGCUCCAAUAGCGUAUAUUAAAGUUGUUGAGGUUAAAAAGCUCGUAGUUGAACCUUGGGCCUGGCUGGCCGGUCCGCCUCACCGCGUGCACUGGUCCGGCCGGGCCUUUCCCUCUGGGGAGCCGCAUGCCCUUCACUGGGUGUGUCGGGGAACCAGGACUUUUACUGUGAACAAAUCAGAUCGCUCAAAGAAGGCUCUCGCUCGAAUGCAUUAGCAUGGAAUAAUGAAAUAGGACGUGCGGUUCUAUUUUGUUGGUUUCUAGGACCGCCGUAAUGAUUAAUAGGGACAGUCGGGGGCAUCCGUAUUCAAUCGUCAGAGGUGAAAUUCUUGGAUCGAUUGAAGACGAACUACUGCGAAAGCAUUUGCCAAGGAUGUUUUCAUUAAUCAGGAACGAAAGUUAGGGGAUCGAAGACGAUCAGAUACCGUCGUAGUCUUAACCAUAAACUAUGCCGAUUAGGGAUCGGACGAUGUUAUUUUUUGACUCGUUCGGCACCUUACGAAAAAUC
RNAcentral lists this ribosomal RNA (1014 nucleotides) under Fuscocatenula variegata. Its description in RNAcentral is "SSU rRNA". It matches the Rfam family "Eukaryotic small subunit ribosomal RNA", at positions 76 to 1099 of the family's 1831-position model. The record is from RNAcentral. Lineage: Eukaryota; Fungi; Ascomycota; Sordariomycetes; Chaetosphaeriales; Chaetosphaeriaceae.